UGGGGAAUAUUGGACAAUGGGCGGAAGCCUGAUCCAGCAAUGCCGCGUGUGUGAAGAAGGCCCGAGGGUCGUAAAGCACUUUUGUUAGGGAGGAAGGAGUAUGUAUUAAUACUACAUACAACUGACGUUACCUAAAGAAUAAGCACCGGCUAACUCUGUGCCAGCAGCCGCGGUAAUACAGAGGGUGCAAGCGUUAAUCGGAAUUACUGGGCGUAAAGGGUGCGUAGGUGGAUACGUAAGUCAGAUGUGAAAUCCCCGGGCUUAACCUGGGAACUGCAUUUGAUACUGCGGAUCUAGAGUAUGGUAGAGGUAAGUGGAAUUUCCGGUGUAGCGGUGAAAUGCGUAGAUAUCGGAAGGAACAUCAGUGGCGAAGGCGACUUACUGGACUGAUACUGACACUGAGGCACGAAAGCGUGGGGAGCAAACAGG
RNAcentral lists this ribosomal RNA (429 nucleotides) under uncultured bacterium. Its description in RNAcentral is "bacterial SSU rRNA". It matches the Rfam family "Bacterial small subunit ribosomal RNA", at positions 355 to 776 of the family's 1533-position model. The record is from RNAcentral.